Molecule: long non-coding RNA, 796 nt
Filed under: Chrysemys picta bellii (western painted turtle)
Lineage: Eukaryota; Metazoa; Chordata; Testudines; Emydidae
Description: lncRNA (ENSCPBG00000026732.1)
Rfam family: Small nucleolar SNORD12/SNORD106 (bases 411-502)
Source: RNAcentral
CGCUCCCUUUUUCGUUCCCUUCGCUGAGGGUAGCGGUGAGUGGUUUGUGCGGGGUGGGGGGGCGCGUACAAUCCAGUGCCAUCCGCGGCCGUCCGCGCUUGUGCCUGUCCCCUGUCCAGCUCCAGCAGUGCCUCGCAGCCCCUACUGCUGCACUCGGCCUGUAUUGAAGGGGUGUCCCCGCUGGAGGGGCCGCGGGGAUCCGGCUGCACCUCGGCCGCGCCCAGCUGCCGGGGGAGUCCUUCGCUAGCGGCUGCCUCUGCUGCUCCAGGCUGCUCUCUCGCUGGCCGCCACCCCCCGUUCUCCCGCAGACUGUCGCUCCCCCUGGAAGAGGGCCCGGGGGUGUCUGGCCGCAGACCGGGUUGGCCGCUCUCUGCUCCCCAGCCAGGGGUUCGCCCAUAGCCCGGGGUCUCGCUGGUGCACGUGAUGACUAAAGCUUUUUUCCCCAUCAGAGCGACAGUGUUGAUUCCGCUGCUCUAAGCCAGAUUGUGUCUGAUGCACCAGCCCGGGGAGGCGGCCUUUGCUUUGCUCCCGCCGGAUGGUCAGCGAGACUAAAUCUCUUUCGCCUCUUCGGUCUUCUGCUUCUCAGGUCCACCAAGCAGGCGCGGGCAACAUGUGCUGGAGACCUGGCCUGGUAGAGCAAGGCCAGGCGCGGCCCCAGGAUAGAACCAGCAGGAAGCGCCGGUGCUCUGGUUAUGAACCCACUGUGUCCAUUGCCCCCUGUGACCCUCAUGGAGGAGGCAGCGGUCCAUGGCAGCAAGGUGGGAGCAACAUGAGCCUGGGAUACCUGGCUCACUGA